GACGUAGGGUGCGAGCGUUGUCCGGAUUUAUUGGGCGUAAAGAGCUCGUAGGCGGCUCGUCGCGUCGGCUGUGAAAACCCGCGGCUUAACUGUGGGCUUGCAGCUGAUACGGGCGGGCUAGAGUUCGGUAGGGGAGACUGGAAUUCCUGGUGUAGCGGUGAAAUGCGCAGAUAUCAGGAGGAACACCGAUGGCGAAGGCAGGUCUCUGGGCCACUACUGACGCUGAGAAGCGAAAGCAUGGGGAGCGAACAGG
RNAcentral lists this ribosomal RNA (253 nucleotides) under uncultured bacterium. RNAcentral's name for it is "partial 16S ribosomal RNA". It matches the Rfam family "Bacterial small subunit ribosomal RNA", at positions 524 to 776 of the family's 1533-position model. The record is from RNAcentral.